AGAGUUUGAUCCUGGCUCAGAACGAACGCUGGCGGUAUGCCUAACACAUGCAAGUCGAACGCGAAAGCAGUCUUCGGACUGCCGGUAGAGUGGCGCACGGGUGAGUAACGCGUAGAUAAUCAACCCCGGGGACUGGGAUAACUUUUGGAAAACGAAAGCUAAUACCGGAUGACACCUUUCAUUUAAGUGAGAGGUUGAAAUGGUCCGCCGCCCUGGGACGAGUCUGCGUACCAUUAGCUAGUUGGUGGGGUAAUGGCCCACCAAGGCGACGAUGGUUAGCGGGUCUGAGAGGAUGAUCCGCCACACUGGAACUGAGACACGGUCCAGACUCCUACGGGAGGCAGCAGUGGGGAAUCUUGCGCAAUGGACGCAAGUCUGACGCAGCAAUACCGCGUGAGUGAAGAAGGCCUUAGGGUCGUAAAGCUCUUUUAUCGGGGAAGAUAAUGACGGUACCCGAGGAAUAAGCACCGGCUAACUACGUGCCAGCAGCCGCGGUAAUACGUAGGGUGCGAGCGUUGUUCGGAUUCACUGGGCGUAAAGGGCGUGUAGGCGGACUGUCCAGCCAAGGGUGAAAUCCCGGAGCUUAACUCCGGAACUGUUUCAUGAACUGCCGGACUAGAGAUGGUCAGAGGCGGGUGGAAUUCCAGGUGUAGAGGUGAAAUUCGUAGAGAUCUGGAGGAACACCGGCGGCGAAGGCGGCCUGCUGGGGCUUUUCUGACGCUGAGGCGCGAAAGCGUGGGGAGCAAACAGGAUUAGAUACCCUGGUAGUCCACGCUGUAAACGAUGAGCACUCGAUGUGCGGGGUGUACGACCCCUCGCGUGUCACAGCUAACGCAAUAAGUACUCCGCCUGGGGACUACGGUCGCAAGACUAAAACUCAAAGGAAUUGACGGGGGCCCGCACAAGCGGUGGAGGAUGUGGUUUAAUUCGACGCAACGCGAAGAACCUUACCUGGGUUUGACAUCCCGUGACAACUCCAGAGAUGGAGCCUUCCCUUCGGGGACUUGGUGACAGGUGCUGCAUGGCUGUCGUCAGCUCGUGUCGUGAGAUGUUGGGUUAAGUCCCGCAACGAGCGCAACCCUUGUUCUUAGUUGCCAGCGGAUAAUGCCGGGCACUCUAGGGAGACUGCCGGUGUUAAACCGGAGGAAGGUGGGGAUGACGUCAAGUCCUCAUGGCCUUUAUAUCCAGGGCUACACACGUCCUACAAUGGCGCCUACAAAGAGCUUCGAGCCUGCGAGGGUUAGCGAAUCUCAAAAAAGGCGUCUCAGUUCGGAUUGUACUCUGCAACUCGAGUGCAUGAAGGUGGAAUCGCUAGUAAUCGCAGAUCAGUAUGCUGCGGUGAAUACGUUCCCGGGCCUUGUACACACUGCCCGUCAAGCCAUGGGAGUUGGCUUUACUCGAAGCCAGUGGGCUAACCUUUUUGGAGGCAGCUGUCCACGGUGAGGCCAGCGACUGGGGUUAAGUCGUAACAAG
Molecule: ribosomal RNA, 1473 nt
Filed under: uncultured prokaryote
Description: partial 16S ribosomal RNA
Rfam family: Bacterial small subunit ribosomal RNA
Source: RNAcentral